GUCCUUCCUAUCAGCUGCACAGAUGCUAAAAACUGGACCGAUACAGGAGACGGUCAGCAUGGCCCCUGUGCAGGGAUGGCAUGCAAGUCUGGGAACUGUUUCACAGUGUG
Small nuclear RNA from Peromyscus maniculatus bairdii (prairie deer mouse), 110 nucleotides. NCBI's taxonomy places the organism in Eukaryota, Metazoa, Chordata, Mammalia, Rodentia, Cricetidae. The record is from Ensembl.